Long non-coding RNA from Esox lucius (northern pike), 682 nucleotides. The record is from Ensembl. Lineage: Eukaryota; Metazoa; Chordata; Actinopteri; Esociformes; Esocidae.
CAACAUUCUUCCAGUCUUCAACCGUCCUAUUUUGAUGACCGGGGUAACAGGAUAUGCCUUUCUGACCAGAUAAAGAUGUCAGCCCAAGUAGCUUCUGGAAUGGCUUAUCUGGAGUUAAAGAACUUCCUCCACAGGGACCUGUCUCCAAGUGCAUACCUGUGGGGGAUGCCCUGUUCCCUUUGAGAUGGACAGCUCCCGAGGCAAUCGCCAGCAAGACGUUCACCAUCAAGGGUGACGUGUGGUCCUUCUUGUUGUAUAAGAUCAUGACUUUUGGUAAGAAGCCCUAUGCAAGUAAGAUUUUUAUAUUUACUUUGUCCACAUAGAAAUUCUGCACUAAGUGGAAAUGUCUUAGAGAUCUGGGGGCUUUUAAGUGGCGAGUCAAGACCGUUAUCAUAAAUUGUAUUCCACAAAAAAUAAAUAUAUAUCAACCGAGCAACAAUACACUGACACAACGGUCUGAGUUCUGCCAACAAACCUGAAAGUUUAUGCCCAAGAAUGGCAGAUAACCCCACUUCAGUACUGUGCUGUGUUUAGAGUAAUUGGACAGUAAGCAUUGGACAGUAAGCAAUUAUUUAUGGCUCAGCAUUCAAGUUUGGGGGACAACAAACAGUUACUAUAAGGUUCAAGUAUUGAUUCUUAGAUUUUAGUUGAGGGUAUUUGUGUAUGGAGGACUAAAUGUGCC